This 90-nucleotide transfer RNA is filed under the name Lophira alata. RNAcentral describes it as "tRNA-Ser". It matches the Rfam family "tRNA". Rfam says of the family: Transfer RNA (tRNA) molecules are approximately 80 nucleotides in length. Their secondary structure includes four short double-helical elements and three loops (D, anti-codon, and T loops). The record is from RNAcentral. Lineage: Eukaryota; Viridiplantae; Streptophyta; Magnoliopsida; Malpighiales; Ochnaceae. RNAcentral also lists the same sequence under 2 other names.
GGAGAGAUGGCCGAGUGGUUGAUAGCUCCGGUCUUGAAAACCGGUAUAGUUCGCAAGAAACUAUCGAGGGUUCGAAUCCCUCUCUCUCCU